GGAUAAGCUUUCUGCUAAAGGCAUAACUGGGCCAUUACAUUCUUGGCUACAGAACUACCUGGAAGGAAGGUCCAUCCAGGACGUGCUCUCUGGUCAGUCCUCAUCACCUCAACCAAUCAACGCCUCGGGGCCCCAGGGAUCCAUUCUCGGCCCGCUAUUAUUCUCCAUCUUCAAUCCUGCCCGGACCUUUUUUUGGGGGCAACCAGAAUUGACCUUUGUGAGCAGUUGAAUAUUCUGGGACUACGUAUCGAUAGGAAGUUGCUAUGGACUAAUCACCUGUCAAACAUCUGCAAGCGUGCUGGACAGCGUCUUGGAGCUCUGCGUAGGUUAACCAACAAGCUUGAUGUUAAAGGUAGGGCCAAUGUCUACAAGGCACAAGUCAGGAAUACCAUGGAGUACUCUUGCCUUGCCUGGAUGAACGCAUCACAGACCACCCUUGGGCAGCUUGACAACAUCCAGAACAAGGCACUGAAAAUCAUUGGGGAGGAUGAGGACACUGCCCUAAGGAAAUAUGCAAUUAGCCAGCUCAGCCAACGUAGAACUGUUGCAGCAACAACUGUGCUUUUUAAAAUGCACACUGAAAACUGUCCAGAGGAUCUCAAAGCUCUGCUACCCCCACCAGAUCUCCUUUGCCGAACCACUCGGAGAGCACGACCAAGUCACGCCCUAAAACUCCCCAAGUCCAACACCAAAUGCUUGGGGAGGAGUUUUCUUCAUUCGGCUGUAACAACUUGGAACUGCCUCCCCUGUACUGUGAGAGCGCAUGAUAGUGAUGUGUGAGAUUGACAUGGCAUUUCACACGUUUCGCCACUGGUGGCAGUCUUUCACACUGUCUGUGGAGAGAGAACAGAGCUACCCCUCAAUAGACAAAGAUGUCCAUGUAGAGAACCAUGUGUGUUUCUGGUCACAGUGAGUAUUCUGAUGGAUAUGUCAAGUACCAGUGCAGCCAGAGUCCUACAAUUACAGAGAGUACAUCCCUGCCAAGUUGCUGCAAUACUUUUUGUUUAAAACACAUUCCACUAAACAAGCUGCUCCACUGCUGCUGUACUGUUACGUUUACUCCUCAGUCUAGGGGGUUGAGGAGGGAGUAACAAGGAGAAAACAAAGAUGUGACUAAAAUAAAAUUAGCCAAAAAAAAAAUGAAACA
Long non-coding RNA from Cyprinus carpio (common carp), 1147 nucleotides. NCBI's taxonomy places the organism in Eukaryota, Metazoa, Chordata, Actinopteri, Cypriniformes, Cyprinidae. The record is from Ensembl.